Molecule: unclassified non-coding RNA, 1070 nt
Filed under: Hevea brasiliensis (rubber tree)
Lineage: Eukaryota; Viridiplantae; Streptophyta; Magnoliopsida; Malpighiales; Euphorbiaceae
Source: RNAcentral
UGAGAAAAUCCAGCAUCCACCGGCUGUUGCGUAGCCACAUUAUCACAGACGCCGCGGUUGACCCAUCCAUGACGGCGACGACAACAAUUCAUUCGAUUAUCAACCACCAGACAACGCAGUCGAGAGCUUCCUUUCGAUUCCCUCAAUUUUUCAGGAAAUCUAGAGAGUUUAAUGAGCUUUCUCCUCCCUUUUUCACCUCUCCUUCAUCCUGUUCUUCUUCAUCGUCUUACUCUUCAUCGAAUGCAGCGGCGUCGUUUGUUGGAUGGUACUUGGCGAUGGUGAAGUCUCGGCCUAUUUUGACAAAGAGUGUCACAUCCUCGCUUAUUUAUGUUGCUGCUGACUUUUCAUCUCAGACAAUUGCACAGCCAGUUUCAGAACCUUAUGAUUUGGUGAGGACAUUGCGAAUGGCAGCAUAUGGUAUGCUCGUUCUAGGACCAACGCUGCAUUAUUGGUUCAACUUUGUGUCAAAACAAUUUCCAAAGCGAGAUUUAAUCACAACAUUUAAGAAAAUUAUCAUGGGGCAGACAAUCUAUGGACCUGCCAUGACAGCUCUUUUCUUCUCCUUGAACGCAUGCCUACAAGGUGAGAACAGUAAUGAGAUUAUUGCCCGGUUAAAGCGGGAUUUGUUGCCGACGAUGAUGAAUGGUGUCAUGUACUGGCCCAUGUGUGAUUUUAUCACUUUCAAAUUCAUCCCUGUCCAUUUACAGCCACUGGUUAGCAAUUCAUUUUCAUAUCUAUGGACAAUUUAUAUGACAUAUAUGGCAAGUCUGGGGAAAGUGGGCGCUGACAGCUGAUUAGCUCAAUGCUUCUGGGUCUUACCUCCCAACUGCACGGCAAUAUACUGGUAGAUGAAACAGUGAAUCAAAUUAAACCAAACUUUUGUUACGCCUUCUCCCAAAAUGCUGUUAUUUUGUCAAUGGUGGGAAGCUCAGUUGAACUUGAUAGUUACAUCUUUCUUUAAUAUAGAUGAGCAGCAACAGUCUCGUCGACUAGUGUAAUUGAAUGGAUAUUGCGUAAGGCAAAUCGUAAUAGUAUUAGAGACAUUUUUUUUCAAAAAAAAAAAAAAAAAA